Long non-coding RNA from Gasterosteus aculeatus aculeatus (three-spined stickleback), 382 nucleotides. The record is from Ensembl. NCBI's taxonomy places the organism in Eukaryota, Metazoa, Chordata, Actinopteri, Perciformes, Gasterosteidae.
CGCGAUGACUCGACGUGAUCACACCGCGACCUGGAUACACACGGAGAGUUUGGAACGUUCUGAACUGGUGAAAUCCUUAAAUUGGCAGAUCUGGAAAAAAACAACAACAACAACAACAGCGGUGUAUAGGAGGUUCUUUACUCUGGUCUCAGAUGUUCCAGAAGCCGCUGGAUGUUUAUCGCCUCUGCGGGGAGUCCAGCAGCUCUUACGUCAUCGAGUCUGGGCCAAAGGCCACGAUGAAGUUAAUUACCGGACGUGACGUCUGAACAUGAAGAAGUCUCUUCUUACUGUCGAAAUAUAUUCCUCAAUUGACGGAAGGGCGUUUUAUGAAAGUGAUGAACAAAUAGAAAAUAAACUUUGAUAACUGACAUUUUAAUCUUUG